RNAcentral lists this ribosomal RNA (501 nucleotides) under uncultured bacterium. RNAcentral describes it as "partial 16S ribosomal RNA". It matches the Rfam family "Bacterial small subunit ribosomal RNA", at positions 30 to 523 of the family's 1533-position model. The record is from RNAcentral.
AUUGAACGCUGGCGGCAGGCUUAACACAUGCAAGUCGAGCGGAGAUGAGGUGCUUGCACCUUAUCUUAGCGGCGGACGGGUGAGUAAUGCUUAGGAAUCCGCCUAUUAGUGGGGGACAACAUUCCGAAAGGAAUGCUAAUACCGCAUACGUCCUACGGGAGAAAGCAGGGGAUCUUCGGACCUUGCGCUAAUAGAUGAGCCUAAGUCGGAUUAGCUAGUUGGUGGGGUAAGGGCCUGCCAAGGCGACGAUCUGUAGCGGGUCUGAGAGGAUGAUACGCCACACUGGGACUGAGACACGGCCCAGAAUCCGACGGGAGGCAGCAGUGGGGAAUAUUGGACAAUGGGGGGAACCCUGAUCCAGCCAUGCCGCGUGUGUGAAGAAGGCCUUAUGGUUGUAAAGCACUUUAAGCGAGGAGGAGGCUACUGAGACUAAUACUCUUGGAUAGUGGACGUUACUCGCAGAAUAAGCACCGGCUAACUCUGUGCCAGCCGCCGCCGUAA